Molecule: ribosomal RNA, 379 nt
Filed under: Anguispira alternata
Lineage: Eukaryota; Metazoa; Mollusca; Gastropoda; Stylommatophora; Discidae
Description: partial 16S ribosomal RNA
Source: RNAcentral
AUUGGCCUUUAAUUGGGGUCUAGAAUGAACGGAAACAUAUACGAUUACUGUCUUUUUUUUAUUUAAUUUAACUUACUUAUUAGGUGAAAACUCCUAUAAGCUAACAAGAAGGACGAGAAGACCCUUAGAAUUAUUAAGAUUUAAUGUUACACUAUACAUUAUUUUCUUUUUGUUGGGGCGACAUAUUUUCAUUAAACAUAAUAUAUUUAAAUUUUCACAAGACUAGUUUACUUAGUAAGAUUUAAUUACCUGAGGGAUAACAGCAUUAUAUUAUAUUAAGCUUGUGACCUCGAUGUUGGACUAGGUAAAAUAUCAACCAGUAGUUGUUAUUACUUGUUCUGUUCGAACAUACACACCUACAUGAUCUGAGUUCAGACCG